RNAcentral lists this long non-coding RNA (1562 nucleotides) under Rattus norvegicus (Norway rat). RNAcentral's name for it is "long non-coding RNA NONRATT018224". Lineage: Eukaryota; Metazoa; Chordata; Mammalia; Rodentia; Muridae. The record is from RNAcentral.
CCAGAGCAGAACGAGUGGAGAGAGACGGCGCCCAUGAUGGAGAGGAGGAUGGAGUGCGGGGCCGUCAUCAUGAAUGGAUGCAUCUAUGUAACCGGGGGCUACUCCUACUCAAAGGGCACGUAUCUUCAGAGUAUUGAGAAAUACGACCCAGAUCUUAAUAAGUGGGAAAUAGUGGGCAACCUCCCAAGUGCCAUGCGCUCUCAUGGCUGUGUUUGUGUGUAUAAUGUUUGAGUCCACAGGUCGUCACUAGGGGCUUAGUAAAAAGAGUGCAGAGUUUGGGGUGCCUUGAUAUGGGCACAUGCUAAGGCAUUGGAACAACUAAUUCUAGCCCUGCACCAUCCCCAGACCCAGUGACUAAUGGGAAUAACAUAAGAAAAAUGUGAUGCAUGUAUAACGGUUGAGUUAGGGAGAGUUCACGUCUCCUGGAACCCCUGCCUUUUAAAGGCAGAGUGGAGUAUUUGACACUUGAUAAAGGUGAAAGCAUCUGCAGUGAAUCCUUUCUUCCUGGUAGCAUCAACACUGGGUAUAGUCAAAACCAUUCAUCCUGAGUUAUAAAAUGUUCGUUAAAGUCUGUGACAUAGCUAGGCAUGCUGACACAUGCCUUUGAUCCCAGAACUUGGGAGGCAGAGGCAGGCAGAUCUCUGAGUUGAAGGACAUCAAGGCCAGCCUGGUCUACAUGGCAACUUCCAGGCCAGCCAAAGCUACAUUGAGAACCUGUCUUUAAAAGCCUAUGUGUACCUGUGUGUAUUACGGGUCUCUAGCUGGCAGGAGUCUGAAAUGUAAAGAGGGAACCUUCUCUACCUCUACAAAACAACACUUUAAAUGCUUCCCUUUAGAAUUAGUUCGAAUGUGGAUUUACUUACAGCCUCUCCCCUUCGUGAUGUAUAUAAUUUAUUGCUAGCAUUCAUUGUUUACUAUCAGAGCUAUACUAAACACUGUACAAAUGAUAGUUACUGUUCAAAGAGUUGACAACUCAAUUUAAAAAAAAUAGCAACUCUAGAAAUGACUAAGAAAAUAGUCAAAUACUUGCUGAUGCUAAGGGCUGUACUUAAUUUUUAGCUUGGGUAUAAAUUGCUAGUUUAGGUUCUGGCUUAAGCAUGUCGGCAUAUCUUCUUUAUAGUUAGAUAUCUGCAUAUAAAUCUGAAUACCAGGGCCAGAAAGCAUGUAGAACAGCUGCGAGGCAGUAGAAAAUGCAUUGAGGAGAAGAAUUUGCAUUUAUUUGCCAGCUCUGCCACUAACCAGAUUUUGUGACUCGAGCUUCCUCACCCAUGUACACCGGCACUUUGAGACAUAGAUUUCUCUGUAUCAAGAGCCCCUGGACCUUUGAAGCCAGAUGAGGCCUGGGUGGCCUAUGGGCCAGAUGCACUCUUUUCCUCUGUGUGCCUGCAGGGUCACGUCCCAAAUGUGCCAUGACCUGGGGAAAAAGGGCAGCGCUGCUCAAGUAACUCAUCUGAGCGUGAGUGACCGUGAGACUAUCUGUUCCACGUCAGGUUGGUUUUAUUGUUUUGUUUUUGAAGAGAUAAUGCUUAAUUUUUACUUUAAAUAAAAGCUACUUCUGACUG